GUUGGCUGGUAGUUGGGGUUCUUCAGGAUAUCAGCUGUGAGGUCCUGUUGGGGGGUGACUGUGUCUCUUUGGGACAGGAUCCAGGCCCUGCUCCUGUAACGAGGAUUUGAAUUUGAAUCCAGGGAACCAAUUGGCUAAGAUGGAAAUAGUCAGUGAAAAUAAAAAUGACCUGGUUGGCAGGAGGGAGGGGCUGCAGGGCUCAGGAUACCUGCCCACCUGUAACCAGACCCCUGGGGCUGAGUGGGAGGGAGAGAUGCUCCCCGCCCCCCUGCACACCAGAGAUGGGGCUCACUCUGGCUCUGAUGCUGUAAGGAGAGCAGAGAGCUCCAUGCCUGCCCCCACAGGGACAGC
This is a long non-coding RNA of Gopherus evgoodei (Goodes thornscrub tortoise), 351 nucleotides long. RefSeq lists it as uncharacterized. The transcript is spliced from 3 exons. The record is from RefSeq and is a predicted model, not a curated record. Lineage: Eukaryota; Metazoa; Chordata; Testudines; Testudinidae.